CCCUUAGAUGUUCUGGGCAGCACGCGCGCUACAAUGGUCUUCGCAAACGGAUGCAUUCUCGAAGGAGAAUGCCAAUCUUGGAAUCUAUGCCUUGGUCGGGACAGUUGCUUGCAAUUUUUCGACUCGAACCAGGAAUUCCUUGUAAUCGUGAUUCAUCACAUCACGAUGAAUACGUCCCUGCCCUUUGUACACACCGCCUGUCGCUCCUACCGAUCGAAGAGUUAGGUGAAUUGUUUUGAUCGAUAAGAUUUGACUAUGGUCAACUCUCGUUGUGAAAUUCUGUGAAUCUGACUGUUUAGAGGAAGGAAAAGUCGUAACA
Molecule: ribosomal RNA, 319 nt
Filed under: uncultured eukaryote
Lineage: Eukaryota
Description: partial 18S ribosomal RNA
Rfam family: Eukaryotic small subunit ribosomal RNA
Source: RNAcentral